GCACCAGACUCCUACGGGAGGCAGCAGUGGGGAAUCUUCCGCAAUGGGCGAAAGCCUGACGGAGCAACGCCGCGUGAUCGAAUGAAGGCCUUCGGGUUGUAAAGAUCUGUUGACAGGGACGAAUAAGCAAUGCGAAUAGUUUUAUGUAUGACGGUACCUGUUUAGAAAGCUCCGGCUAACUACGUGCCAGCAGCCGCGGUAAUACGGAGGAUGCGAGCGUUAUCCGGAUUUAUUGGGUUUAAAGGGUGCGUAGGCGGGAUGCCAAGUCAGCGGUAAAAAUGCGGUGCUCAACGCCGUCGAGCCGUUGAAACUGGCGUUCUUGAGUGGGCGAGAAGUAUGCGGAAUGCGUGGUGUAGCGGUGAAAUGCAUAGAUAUCACGCAGAACUCCGAUUGCGAAGGCAGCAUACCGGCGCCCUACUGACGCUGAGGCACGAAAGCGUGGGUAUCGAACAGGAUUAAAUACCCGUGUA
RNAcentral lists this ribosomal RNA (470 nucleotides) under uncultured bacterium. RNAcentral describes it as "partial 16S ribosomal RNA". It matches the Rfam family "Bacterial small subunit ribosomal RNA", at positions 328 to 792 of the family's 1533-position model. The record is from RNAcentral.